GGGCCAGUGGCUCAGUCAGUCGUAGAGUACUCGACUUUUAAUCGAGGUAUCGCGGGUUCGAAUCCCGCCUGGCCCU
RNAcentral lists this transfer RNA (76 nucleotides) under Halosimplex pelagicum. RNAcentral describes it as "tRNA-Lys". It matches the Rfam family "tRNA". From Rfam's summary of the family: Transfer RNA (tRNA) molecules are approximately 80 nucleotides in length. Lineage: Archaea; Methanobacteriati; Methanobacteriota; Halobacteria; Halobacteriales; Haloarculaceae. The record is from RNAcentral.